Molecule: ribosomal RNA, 2861 nt
Filed under: Triticum aestivum (bread wheat)
Lineage: Eukaryota; Viridiplantae; Streptophyta; Magnoliopsida; Poales; Poaceae
Description: partial small subunit ribosomal RNA
Source: RNAcentral
UAUGCGGUGUCAGCCGCGGUCGGAGUGGAGGGAGCGGGGGUGAGCGGUCUCUCUGCUCCUCGUUGUUCGUCAUCCUCAUCUUCUCCUGUGUGGGGGUGUGUGUACUCUCCUCUCUUCUUCUCUUUUUAGCUAGCUAGCUAGUUUGCGAGAAGGCAGGAAGGAGGACGGGUGGCGGCCACCGGGGGUGGAGGGAAAGAAUGACGAGAGGGCGGGCGAUAUUUAUGGCGGAUUGCGCCGCGAAGGAGCUCUUCGGUUUUGGCGCGGCGCGUUGGGGCGUCAGGGGUGGCCGCGGCGGGGGCGGCGGAGGCGGAGGCCCCGCGCAGGGGCGAGGGCGCGGCUGCUCCCGGGCCGUAACGGCUAGCCUGGGCGCGCGGCGAAGGAAGUGGGGGGGAGGAUGGGGAGCGCGUGCGGCGGCUGCGGCGCACGAGUGGCGAUCGACUACCUAGAUGAUCCCUUGGGAAAGUUCCCCCAGCAGCGGCUACAGUUUCCCUCUCGCAGAACCAUGUCCCUGCUGACCCAACGUCCCGAGGCUUGACCGAAGUCCUAUAACCGUGGAUGGUACAUAUAUAAGAAACGGAGGCGUGAGGGACAGUAGAGGAAGCCUCUCGUCGACUCGUUGCUUUGUCUACCAUAGGACUCGUGUCAACUUUGAAACCGUAGAUGCCGCUAUACACCCUAUUAUGUGAGAUAAGAACCUCCCGUCGGUGACAACUAGCAACCUCAACGACUUGGAUGAUAAUAGUACAUAUGCAUGGAAAUGUUCAAACGGUUCUUCGUCGGUCUAGACCCUCUUGUCGAUAUAAACCGAACCCGACCUACCCAGACGUAAACCUGACGAUAGUACGAGAAAGACGACCGGUACAAGUUACGAAGGUUGUAAUAUUCGUCCAAGUGCUCCCAACGUCCUCUCGAAAAACCAUACGAAUAGUGGCAGGAGAAGGACGUUGUUCGAUAGUUCCCUUAACAUUCGCUCAAGUCAUACGGGUUUCUACUACUCUAAAGACUGGGGUCGAGUGGGUAUAUGGUCAAGGUCACCUAAAUACAGUUACCGGAUGAACCACAAUAUAAAAGGUAACCGAACGACAUGUGACGUGACUUCUGAUCCGCACGUUCCAGUACCGACAAACCCUAUCCUACCGAAUCUUCGAAGUAACGGCUAAUACCACAUGGUGACUACCACUAACACACCUGUCGUAAAAGUAAACGUGAUGGUUCGUUUCAGGGAAGUCCUCACGGAUCCUCCGAGAAGUCAGGUGAAGGGACCCUCAGUUAGAGUGACUCUGUAACCUGGCAUCGUUUCCUAAACAAAAGACAGGGAGGUUGUAUAUAUAAGCGUCGGUAGCACGGACGAAACUACCAGCGUCCUGAAAUAAAGAAACUAGUGUCACAUCGAAGUGUCAACCGAGUCGUUUUCCUUAAAUUAAACUUCUUCGGAAGCCGGAUGGUAAUACUGUAAAACCAUGANNNNNNNNNCCAGGAUGAUACACCAAACGAACCGUAAGGAGGUAGUUUACCUCAUGAAGGAGUCAGGGGUUACGUAUGGUCUUCGGAACGACAGGAGUUCCCCGUCAACGAUGCGUUUUUCUACGAAGUUUGACGGUUUCUCCCGUACAGUUUGGCACGCUCGUCAAACCUUUAUAUACCGUUCUACGUCCUUCACAAGUAGGUUUACCUGUCGUUGUACUUACGAUUAAGACAACUGUUCCUGAACUUCUCGAACUUCCUACGACACGACGCCCUUCCACUGCUUCUUCCCUUUAACCGACCUCUUAAACUAGGAUCGUUUGUAUAGCUUCGUGUAAACGGACAAGCGCACUUACUUGUCUCUGAUUCGUUGGACGACGUUAGUAAUGAACAACCACCCACACAACCUCGGUACGGCCAAUAGUUCUACUAUGGCUGAAGCCAGGAGACCCCAAUGAAACGGAUAUACCGGUAACUAUCGGAUGGACCCUUGGUCAAAACCCUUUCCAACGUCGAAGACACGUAACCUCGUUCGGCUGCGAUGUUCCAGAACCUUCCGGGGGUACGUAGAAAGCACCUCAGUCACGGAAGUUCUUGUUAUAGACGGAAAUGCCAGAAGGUCAAACACAUAGAGGACUAUACGAAGCCGUAUUGUACCUAUGGUCAUCGUCCCUAGGAGAAGGGCGACGGAAAGAAGUAAUACUAAGAGUAGUCCGUUGUGGAUGAGGGUUUCAAGAAACUCGGGUUACUGAACGCCCUUGACCUGCGUCGACUCAUGCUUCUUGAACUUCCACAGGGUGUACUUGUUUGUGGCCUCCUUCUACCGAGUUUAAGUCCUUCGACACUGUCGUCUCUGCUGAGACUUUAUAACCUACUCGAGUGUUGUUUGGCACCUCUCGACUUCGUGUCUAGGCAUUCGGUAGGACUUCUUUCCGUGGAAGUCUAGGUGAGUUUACGUCAAGUCGGUUCGCACACUUCUACCUUUUUUGCAGGGCUCCAGGCUCCGAUACUACCACUAAGACAGUCUUCACAUAUAAUACCACUUCGGUAACAAGCAAAGGCUUAUGCGGUAACAGGUCAUUGCGCGUACCAUGACAUCGACCGCGAAUAGGCUAUUCGACACUAGCACAUGCGAUCCUUCAUUUCGAGUCCACUAAUCGUCACUCUCGUCUGACUUCUUUCACAUAACCUAUACCUUCCCCCUUGAACGGUCUUGUCAUGAUGAUCAUUACCAAUGUUCAUCCGUCUAAUCGGGAAAUCCAUAACGGUUCUGACAACGAGACACUGGACACAUUUUUAGAUCGAACGAGACGGACUCACAUUUCCCCAUUUUGAAACGAACUCUUCGUCAUUUAGAAGGCGCACAGGACCGACGUAAAACCACGGAAACAAGAAAA